This 253-nucleotide ribosomal RNA is filed under the name uncultured bacterium. RNAcentral describes it as "partial 16S ribosomal RNA". It matches the Rfam family "Bacterial small subunit ribosomal RNA", at positions 524 to 776 of the family's 1533-position model. The record is from RNAcentral.
UACGGGGGGGGCAAGCGUUGUUCGGAAUUACUGGGCGUAAAGGGCUCGUAGGCGGCCAACUAAGUCAGACGUGAAAUCCCUCGGCUUAACCGGGGAACUGCGUCUGAUACUGGAUGGCUUGAGUUUGGGAGAGGGAUGCGGAAUUCCAGGUGUAGCGGUGAAAUGCGUAGAUAUCAAGAGGAACACCUGCGGCGAAGGCGGGUUGCUGGGCUGACACUGACGCUGAGGCGCGAAAGCUAGGGGAGCAAACAGG